AUGAUCUCGGCCUUCUUGAUCCAGCAAGAGAGACGGAGAGGUAGAAGAGUUCUCCGGCAGCGUGACGGCGCUCCGGAGGUUGGUGAUGACCUUGUCUCAGCAGGGCUCCGCCCGAGCUCCGCAGAAACGCGAUCUAGAGGAAAAACCGUGGAGAUAUGUGGUCGGGCUGCCGUGGCAAAGUUGUGUCAAAUCAGCCCUAAAACCCCACUAUAUAUAGGAGGAGGAGGGGGGAGACUUGCCUUGGGGUCCAAGGACUCCCAAGGGAGUCGGCCGAGCGAAGGGGGAAGGCCUCCCCCUCCCAAACCGAAAUCUACUUGGUUUGGAAGGUGGAGUCCUUCUUCCCUUCCNNNNNNNNNNNNNNNNNNNNNNNNNNNNNNNNNNNNNNNNNNNNNNNNNNNNNNNNNNNNNNNNNNNNNNNNNNNNNNNNNNNNNNNNNNNNNNNNNNNNNNNNNNNNNNNNNNNNNNNNNNNNNNNNNNNNNNNNNNNNNNNNNNNNNNNNNNNNNNNNNNNNNNNNNNNNNNNNNNNNNNNNNNNNNNNNNNNNNNNNNNNNNNNNNNNNNNNNNNNNNNNNNNNNNNNNNNNNNNNNNNNNNNNNNNNNNNNNNNNNNNNNNNNNNNNNNNNNNNNNNNNNNNNNNNNNNNNNNNNNNNNNNNNNNNNNNNNNNNNNNNNNNNNNNNNNNNNNNNNNNNNNNNNNNNNNNNNNNNNNNNNNNNNNNNNNNNNNNNNNNNNNNNNNNNNNNNNNNNNNNNNNNNNNNNNNNNNNNNNNNNNNNNNNNNNNNNNNNNNNNNNNNNNNNNNNNNNNNNNNNNNNNNNNNNNNNNNNNNNNNNNNNNNNNNNNNNNNNNNNNNNNNNNNNNNNNNNNNNNNNNNNNNNNNNNNNNNNNNNNNNNNNNNNNNNNNNNNNNNNNNNNNNNNNNNNNNNNNNNNNNNNNNNNNNNNNNNNNNNNNNNNNNNNNNNNNNNNNNNNNNNNNNNNNNNNNNNNNNNNNNNNNNNNNNNNNNNNNNNNNNNNNNNNNNNNNNNNNNNNNNNNNNNNNNNNNNNNNNNNNNNNNNNNNNNNNNNNNNNNNNNNNNNNNNNNNNNNNNNNNNNNNNNNNNNNNNNNNNNNNNNNNNNNNNNNNNNNNNNNNNNNNNNNNNNNNNNNNNNNNNNNNNNNNNNNNNNNNNNNNNNNNNNNNNNNNNNNNNNNNNNNNNNNNNNNNNNNNNNNNNNNNNNNNNNNNNNNNNNNNNNNNNNNNNNNNNNNNNNNNNNNNNNNNNNNNNNNNNNNNNNNNNNNNNNNNNNNNNNNNNNNNNNNNNNNNNNNNNNNNNNNNNNNNNNNNNNNNNNNNNNNNNNNNNNNNNNNNNNNNNNNNNNNNNNNNNNNNNNNNNNNNNNNNNNNNNNNNNNNNNNNNNNNNNNNNNNNNNNNNNNNNNNNNNNNNNNNNNNNNNNNNNNNCUCGUCUCAGCAGGGCUCCGCCUGAGCUCCGCAGAAACACGAUCUAGAGGAAAAACUAUGGAGGUAUGUGGUCGGGCAGCCGUGAGAAAGUCGUCUCAAAUCUGCCCUAAAAGCCCCAUAUAUAUAGGAGGAGGGAGGGGGACCUUGCCUUGGGGUCCAAGGGAUCCCCAAGGGGUCGGCCGAGCCAGGGGGGAGGACUCUCCCCCCCCAAACCGAGUCCUACUUGGUUUGGUGGGAGGGAGUCCUUCCCCCUUCCCACUUCUUCCUUUUUUUUUCUUUCCUUUGAUUUUUUCUCUCUUGGCGCAUAGGGGAUUGGUGGGCUGUCCCACCAGCCCACUAAGGGCUGGUGUGACCCCCCCAAAUGCCUAUGGGCUUCCCCGAAGUGGGUUGCCCCCCUCCGGUGAACUCCCGGAACCCAUUCGUCAUUCCCGGUACAUUCCCGGUAACUCCGAAAACCUUCCGGUAAUCAAAUGAAGUCAUCCUAUAUAUCAAUCUUCAUUUCCGAACUAUUCCGGAAACCCUCGUGACGUCCGUGAUCUCAUCCGGGACUCCGAACAACAUUCGGUAACCAACCAUAUAACUCAAAUACGCAUAAAACAACGUCGAACCUUAAGUGUGCAGACCCUGCGGGUUCGAGAACUAUGUAGACAUGACCCGAGAGACUCCUCGGUCAAUAUCCAACAGCGGGACCUGGAUGCCCAUAUUGGAUCCUACAUAUUCUACGAAGAUCUUAUCGUUUGAACCUCACUGCCAAGGAUUCGAAUAAUCCCGUAUGUCAUUCCCUUUGUCCUUCGGUAUGUUACUUGCCCGAGAUUCGAUCGUCAGUAUCCGCAUACCUAUUUCAAUCUCGUUUACCGGCAAGUCUCUUUACUCGUUCCGUAAUACAAGAUCCCGCAACUUACACUAAGUUACAUUGCUUGCAAGGCUUAUGUGUGAUGUUGUAUUACCGAGUGGGCCCCGAGAUACCUCUCCGUCACACGGAGUGACAAAUCCCAGUCUUGAUCCAUACUAACUCAACUAACACCUUCGGAGACACCUGUAGAGCAUCUUUAUAGUCACCCAGUUACGUUGCGACGUUUGAUACACACAAAGUAUUCCUCCGGUGUCAGUGAGUUAUAUGAUCUCAUGGUCAUAGGAAUAAAUACUUGACACGCAGAAAACAGUAGCAAUAAAAUGACACGAUCAACAUGCUACGUCUAUUAGUUUGGGUCUAGUCCAUCACGUGAUUCUCCUAAUGACGUGAUCCAGUUAUCAAGCAACAACACCUUGUUCAUAAUCAGAAGACACUGACUAUCUUUGAUCAACUGGAUAGCCAACUAGAGGCUUGCUAGGGACGGUGUUUUGUCUAUGUAUCCACACAUGUAAAUGAGUCUUCAUUCAAUACAAUCAUAGCAUGGAUAAUAAACGAUCAUCUUGAUACAUGAAUUAUAAUAAUAACUAUAUUUAUUAUUGCCUCUAGGGCAUAAUUCCAACAGCACCCUUAGUAUUUGAGCUUCGACUUUUGCCUGACACACCUUCUAGUGAGAGAUUGUCUUUUGCUAUUUUUUCAAGUGAACGGAGCUUGUGCUGUUGUGGACCAACGCAUGCAUGUGAGGCUGUUUGUAAAGAAAUUGAGAGCCUGUGGAAAGAGAGAGAGCGAGAGAGACUGUGCAACAAAAUGGGUCCAAUUCUGGUGUUGUGAGGUUUCACAAGCCUAGGCGAGCCCAGUCAUGAGCCGGCUCGGUUAGGCUUGUUUCCAUCACUAGCAACCGCCUUUAGGCACACAAUCAGUGUUUAGCUUUCAUUUUUCACGAUGAUCAUUUGCAAAGGUAGCUAAAAUUUCCCCAAUGCCUUCUAUUCCGAGUGCCACUCACCGCACGAGGGUAAUAUAUCUUGGAUCCAUAUGACAUAUGCCAUAGGAGAAGAACAAAGGAGGACGUAGAUCAUACUGUGAUGGCUAGGGCACUGCUGUUGUAUGUAUUGCAAGAGAUGUUGCGUCUUGGGGAAUAUAUAUAGAUAUAUAGAGAUAUCUGGGCAUGUAAUGGGCAUGUGUAGACCUCGCUAAUUUAAUAUGUAGCGUGCAGGCCCAAACUUGAAUGUCCUGGUUUGUACAACUAUCAACCACCCGUAGUGAAUUAUACAAUUGGUUUGUUUCCAAGGACUGAGUGCCCUCACUAGUGUAGAAUGUGGUGCUAUUAAGCCACACCUGACAUACAACCUAGCGUCAAAUUAUCUAUGUGGAAGGCAUCACAUACGUUACAAAAAUAAAACCAUGUGCCUGAAAAUGAAAUGUGUGCGAUGGCUGUCCCAUCACACAUAAUUUGUGAAAGAGACUCGUAUGCGCGAGCCAGAGGGCAGAACCUCUAAUAGAAACACCUAAGCUGAUCCGCCUCCUCCUCCUCCCGUGACCUUAGCCGUCGCCUCCAUCCACUGAGCCGCCACCUCCUCCCGUAACCCUAGCCGUCACCUCCCGUCGCCCCCCUCCCGUCGCUCCCGUGGGCGACCAGGGGGUAACCCUAGCCGUCGUCGUCGAUCCUGCCUUGCUCCUCCUUCAUCCUUGCCGCCGCCAGCAGCGCUGCCAGGCGAAGCCUGGCCGGCAGGGGGCGGCGGCGAGGAUCCUCUCCCCUUCACGCGACAUGGCUGGCGCGGGACGGCCGUUCGUGAGGAGGCGUCGGACUAGCGCGUGAUGCGGUGGCGCUGCAUGUGGAUCCUAGCGGCGGCGUGCGGAGCGCGUCGACGACUGGCGUUCGGUCUUGCGGGGCGUUGUGGCGGCUGCGAGAGGGGCAAGACAUGGAAAUCGCGUGCGUCGUCGAGUUCGGGUCAGAUCCUUCUGAAUCCGGCGCCCGGACGCCGUCGGCCAGCGCAGGGUGGUGGUACUCGUCACUGUUCAGAUUGGAUCUUUUUCAUUGAUCCAGAUACCCGCGGUGUGCUUCUCUCCUGCGAUUUCCUGGCUUUGCCGGCGUGGCCGCGGAUGAAGCUGGUGGAGGAGAUUCAGAUAAGGGAAAACCCAUUGGUCGUCCCUCGUCGCCCGCGCCGACGACAAUGCUCAAGGGCGCCGUUUUUCUUCCUGGAGACGUCGGUCUACGUCUGCUCCUCCACUUCCUACCUCACUGUCUCUCGAGUGAAAACCCUAACUCCGGUGGGCGGCGGCGGCGUCCUUGAUGUCGUGACCUUCCUGAAGGCGUCGCCUUGAGGGCUGAGUGGUGGUAGGCAUUAUGUGGGUCCUGGACAGUUGCUGGUGGUGGGCACUGCUUUGGGAGAAACCCUAAGAUCUGACUUUUUAGAUCGGACGAUGACGGUAUUGCGGUGUCGUUUUCUCUCUUGGGAUCAUCGUUUGUGGAGCAGCGCUGGAUGACAGAGGCAGGAAAUGAAGCGCGUUCGUCUGGCCCGAAGAUUUGGUGGAACUAUCAAGUCAUGCGCGGCCGACAGGUGCUACGCUGAGUCAUGCCUGGUUGGUAGGUGCUAUGCACGACAGUUCUUUCAGAAUGUUCGUGUCUGGACGAAUAAACGCAGGGUGGUGGCGCUGUUUGGCACCGUGGUAGCGUCGAUCAUCUUGCACAGAGCUUUCGGUGGAGAUGUCAAGUCAUGCCUGGACGACAGGUGCUACGCUAUGUCAUGCCUGGUCGGCAGGUGCUAUGCACGACAAAUCUUCCAGAAUCUUCGCAUCUGGACUGACAAGCCGUGGUGGCGUCGACGGAUGGACGGACUGGCAACGAUGAUACAGAUCUCUCUCCUGAAGAUGGUUAGCGGCGUGAUGAUGAUGGUGGCAUCUAAAACGUGCGCAUGUGGUGUACGCUUUAGGUCUACUGCACCGGUUGUGGGUUCCGAUACGUUAUGUGGAUGUAUCGGUGACGGCACCAGUUUUAGAUAUGGGGAGUGAGAACACUCCACAUUAUCGAAUUUAAUUUGUAGGUGUGGGUGAUGGCUUCGGAUGGUUUGGUGUAUGUUCUUGUUAGACGUACGUUGAAUAAUUAAUAAAAAUGAUUGUAUGCAUAGAUUGAUGCACAGGCAGGGGUUUGAACCUCCUUUUCAAGAAAAAAGCGCGAGCCAGAAUCCAGUUUGACCGUGCAAGGCGUUUGCGAUAACUCGUAAUAACGCAUAUGAUAGUUUUGCGCGAAUGGUGUGUGUUACAUGACAAACAAGCAGGAUAGAAAAAGACUCGUGUGCAAUGAUGGAAGGGAAACGCUUCUGGCCGGUGCGCCGGUCGAACCGUUCGGCCGGCCGCACGCGACCGCGCGGGCGUUUGCUGACUUGGUAUGCAACUUUCUUCGUCUAAAAUUGUUACAACCGCCGUCAUAUUUGCUGCAAGCGUUUUGUUUUGCUACAUCUGUCCGUUAAAAAAGCUGCAUCCACGGUUGGUUGCAACUUCAGUUUGUCGGAUUUUCGUUACAAUCGUUAUUUUUUACUUUUGCUACAACCGUGUUAAUUUUUGCUACAACCAGCAUCAUUUUUUGCUGCAACCGUUCACAAAAAAAGUUGCAUCCACGUCACGUAGAUAUUUGCUACAGCCGGCGUUUGACUUUUGCUACCACGCACUAUCAGCUUCGUUUUUUUCUACGAUCACGUAGAUAUUUUUUUGCUACAAAUUUUGUUUUUUGUUACAACCGUUGAAAAAAUUGCUGCAUCGCGCCGAAAUUUGAUGCAUCGAAAGGAAAAGAUUGCAUAAAGAUCCAACGAUACGGACGACGCGGGAUUAGUGGAUCCCGAGGCUCCCGCGCGGCCGGCCAAAAGUUUCGGCCACGCGCCGGCCCAGAUCAUCCCCAUGAUGGAAGCGUCAGCACACAUUACACACUUUUUUCUAAGGGCAACUCGUGUGCAAUAACCCGUGAAAACACAUAGAUGUGGAUGCGGCCGGAGGAGCGUGGCGCCAUAUGGAGCAUCCGCUCCAUCGUCUUCCUCGGCAAAGCGGUAUCUUCUCGUGAUGCCUCCCGUGUCUCGGCAGCCGAUGACAGUGACAAUCAAAAGCCCGUCUCCAUGCGCUACUGCAGCAGCUGGCGGUGACGUCCUCGAGCAUCACCAUAGAGCAGGCUCGUGGCUCCAACGAGGUCUCUUCCUCCUGCAUGGAAAACGACCAGUCGUGAAUGCAGUCAUCCGCCGAGUUACAGUCACCUGCCAGGGACGCUCCUGUGUUUCGGGAUGCCAUAGGCAAACUCAACAACAUGGACCCCUAUGUCCUAAGAUCAUAUAUUUUUACUUUUAAAAUUUAACUAUAAUAAUAGACUGAUUCCAUCAAUAAUAAUUAAUAAUAAUAAAAUUUCAACUUUCUUAAUUGACAAUGAUAAUACUAAAAAGAUAGAGAAAUGAAACUAAAAUGACAUGAUUACCUCAAAUAAGAAUUUAAUUCUUCAUAAAAAGAUUCUUCGGGCGUUUCUUGAUGCAAAGUCAUUAAGGGCACAAUCAAGGUCAAACAUUUUCCAAUAUAUCAUUCUCAAUGCAGCACAUAGCCAAGUCAUUCAACAUAUCCUGCUCGGGAUUACUUAUCUGCCCAUGUUAUUCACCCGAAUCAACAUUGCUCGAAGAUGUAAAGUGCCUAUUCAAAGAAUCCUUCAAUGGUUGAAUUUUCUGUUGGAAAUAAGUCGUGACGGAGCACGGUGCGACCAACGUCGGUGCGUUAAGUUGGGUUCGUACGUAGCGGUGCGAUCGGCGUUGGUGCGUCGGGUUGGAUCCAUGGGCUGGGUCAUGACCGUGUGUACGUAUGUGGCGUACAUGUGUAGCGUGUGUGUGCUUGUGGUAGUAACGUGUUUGUGUACUCGUAGUGGUUGUUAGCAGUGACCGGUGAAGGCGCAGACCUGGCCGCGUCGUGCGCGUAGCGCGCGUCGUGCGCAUGGCUGCGUCCGGAUCACUCGGUCACAACCGGUUUCCCGUUGCAUGCGUACGUGCGCAUCCAAGGAAACGUGGGCGCUGCGCUAUAGGAGUAUAAAGGCAUGGCCUCAAGUAUGUGUUUGCACGAGAGUUAGAGCUCUUGGGAAAAAGGUUGUACGUGCAGCCGACCGUUCGUCGUGGAAAACUCCCUGUGUUCAGUGUUCAGCUCGUUCUUCUUCUUGUACCUCGUCCGAGCGGGUGAGAGAGAUAGUUAUCCGAGUUUGUCCCAACAUUUGGUAUCAGAGCUUCGUUGCGAUCCACUACGUCGAACAUGUCCAUCGUCCCGUACGGCGCCGGAGGGAGCACGGUGUCGCUCCCCGUGCCGAUGUUCAUCGGUGACAACUACACUGUGUGGGCGAUCAAGGUGGAGGCGAACCUCGACGUGCAAGGGCUGUGGGAAGCGGUGGUUCCGGCGGAGGACUCAACGGCGGCGGUCAUCGCGAAGAAGGACAAGCGGAGAGGGCAUACCUCCUCGGAGCGCUCUCCGAAGACAUCCUGCUGCAGGUGUCGUCGAAGAAGACGGCGGCGGAGCUGUGGGCGAGCCUGAAGACGCGGUUUGUCGGUGCGGACCGGGUGAGGGCGGCGCGGCUCUCGACUCUCCGCGGCGAGUUCGAUCGCCUGCGCAUGGAGGACGGCAACGAGCUGGACGCGUAUGCCGGGAGGAUCAGCGGCAUGUCGGCAAGGUACGCGGCCCUCGGAGCGACACUCAACGACGCGGCAAUGGUGAAGAAACGGCUCGACACCGUGCCGGACCGGCUGUUUGCAGCGGUAGCCGAAAUUGAGCAGUUCUGCGACGUUGACAAGAUGCCGUUCGAGGAGGCGCUCAGCCGGCUGAAGGCGUUCGAGGAGCGGAUGAGGCGGCGCAAUCAGGACAAUGGCGGACGUGGCGGUGACCACCUCCUACGCACGGCGGCUCAAUGGGCGGCAAUGCGACGUCAGCAUGGCGGCGGCUUCGACCACGACGAUGACGGCGCGGGCAGCACGGCGUCGGGCGGCGCAGCAAAGAGACAAGGACGCCGUGGGCGCUGCUACAACUGUGGCCAGCGUGUACAUUUUCGACGGGAGUGCCCGAAGCCACUUCAGGCGGAGGCGCCGGAGCACGCGCUUGUCGCGGCGGUCGACGACAACGUCGGGCCGGCGCUCCUCUAGGUUACGACUUAGGGGGUGAUUGUUGGAAAUAAGUCGUGACGGAGCACGGUGCGACCAGCGUCGGUGCGCUAGGUCGGGUUCGUAGCGGUGCGAUCGGCGUCGGUGCAUCGGGUCAGAUCCGCGGGCUGGGUCAUGACCGUGUGUACGUAUGUGGCGUACAUGUGUAGCGUGUGUGUGCUUGUGGUAGUAAAGUGUUUGUGUACUCGUAGUGGUUGUUAGCAGUGAUCGGUGAAGGCGCGGACAUGGCCGCGUCCUGUGCGCUUAGCCCGCGUCGUGCGCAAUUCUGCGUCCGGAUCGCUCGCUCACAACCGGUUUCCCGUUACAUGCGUACAUGCGCAUCGAAGGAAACGUGGGCGCUGCGUUAUAGGAGUAUAAAGGCAUGGCCUCAAGUAUGUGUUUGCACGGGAGUUAGAGCUCUUGGAAAAAAGGUUGUACGUGCAGCCGGCCGUUCGUCGCAGAAAACUCCCUGUGUUCAGUGUUCAGCAAGUUCUUCUUCUUCUACCUUCGUCCGAGCGAGUGAGAGAGAGAGAGUUAUCCGAGUUUGUCCCAACAUUUUCGUAUCACUUUUUUUUUCCGGCACCCGACAAUUGCUUCUUCUUAGGCAACAUGGCAGACCCUAAAAUUAUGAAGAAAAGAGGAAUAGAGAAUACAAAUAAUUAAAAUUUAUACAUAUCAAAUGAUUGAAACCCUAGACAUACAUGAAAAAGUACUUGAAUUACUAAAUAAAGAUGAUGAAUGGACUAUGUACUAGUGUUGAAUUCUGUUGUUGAUUACUCCUUCUCAUACUGAAUAUUGAUGGAUGGAUGGAUGGAUGGGGUCUCGUGCACUCCUUGGUGUCCUGCUUGGCUGCUUCGGAAGCAUGUGUUAGAUACUUAGAUCGAUGGCCAAGACCAAGACACCACUCGCCGCAGUACUGCUGAUGCCUGAUGGAUGGAUGGCCGGACUGCCGGGCGGCCGGCGGCGCCAACGCGCGCAGCGGCGACAAGCCGGCCGAGUCGCUAUAUGGCCAAGGCACUGUAGGGCAGUGGAGAUGAGGCGUCGAGGCAGGCGACCAGAAGAUGAGUAGACGAAGCCACGAAGAGGUUUCUGUUGUGAAGUUUUUAGCCGGGCCUAGCCAUCUGAAUAUCUUUCUUCUUUUUUGUAUGUUUUUCACAUUUUUAAUGGACUAUAUUGCAUAUACAUAUUAUAUUAUGCGCCUUCUUCUUAUGUGGGCCCUAGGCCGUCGCCCCGCGGGUCAUACAUCAGGGCCGGCCCUGUCACCUGCCAAGUCAACACGGUUAACAAAAUUUGGACCUUGGCGCAACUAUACUUUUCUGUAUCUCCCCUAAUAAUAAAGCGCGCAGCGUUUCUGUCGUCCGUCGUCGCUCAUUUUGCAGAAAAGCCUUCGCCGUUUUAGGUAAUUAACCCGCAGUUCAUUUUGCAGAAAAGCCCUCACAGUUUUAGAUAAUCAACCCGCAGUCCAUCUUUUAGUCACAGCCGAACCGUUUUUUUUGCAAUUUUUAGAAAAUUCACUGAUGUUUCAGGUAAUCAACCCGCCAUCCCUAUUUAAGUCAGCCGAAACCCUGACUUUUCAGUUAAUCAAUCCAUAUUUUAUCUAAAACAAAAUUAUCCAUAUCUUUUAAACCGUAACUCCGAUUUUAACAUGUUAUAUAUAAAAUUUGAUUGAAAAAAAUGUGUAGAAUCUAAAUAGGAUGUUAGUUUUAGCUGUUGAAUACUUCUUAAAUAUUAUUUUUGGUGCAAACUUAAUCUGUAGUGCACGGUCCUUUUUUUCUCUCUUUCCGGUGACCAUAAGAAUUGCAAUAAACAUCCUUUAAAUUAAAAUCAAAUUAAGAGGAAAGAAAACAUCGUUAACCACACAUGCACACCUUUGAAAAAUCUCGUGGAAAGAAACAACAUAUUUCUCAUCUUAUUUCGAGUGACUGUACAUUCAAACGCGUUUUCGUUGUGUGAGCACUGAGGCCAUCAUCGGCAACACAAAUAUGAUGCAAUGUGAAAAUAUAUUGCGUUCAGACCGUGUGUUAUUUUCUCUUUCGUUGCAACGCACGGGCUUUUUUGCUAGUCUUAGAUAAUGCAAGGGAAAAAAAACGGUCUAACCGAGCGGACCGCGCUAGUUACAAACAUGGAAAUCGAACCAGUGAUCACCUUAUUCACUCCACAUUGUGGUAACCACCGCACUACGGGAAUUUGAUGCACAAAGUUCCAUCAUUUCACUUUCUUAUCAUCUUUUUUUUUUCUGUUCUUGUACUAUCUUACCAGCAAAUCGGAUGAAAUUUCUUAUCAUCUUGUCCGCAGAUAUUUUGUUGCCUCAUUUUUUAAAUUUUUAUCAAUGAUUUUUGUGAUACAUUAAAAUACAUUCAUCAAAUUUUGGCGAGAAUAGCAAGCUUAAAGAAAACAAGAAAUACAAGAAGACAUUUUAGAACAUAUCAAACUUUCAUAACUGCUUCCGUAAGUUUGAUUAGUGCCUUCUCAAUGCAUUCAUUGUUGAUUUGCGGAGUCUUGAUGUUAAAUACUUUUUUUUUUGAGUCUAAAGAAUUAGACGUUGCUUUCGCACAUCUAGCCUCAUCUCUAGCGUCCAGCAAGAAGUGCACGAACAUCUAUUAAAUUACGUACUAUUAAUAGAUCGAUGUAUUCUUCUUCCCAAACCAAAAGGUGCAUCCAGCCUACGCAAUAAAUAUUUGAUUGUAAGCAAAAUGAGCUGGAUCCGGAAGCACAACCGAAGCAACUCGCACAUACUCCCAUCAUUUUUGCACAUGACAAACACCCAUCCGGGAUGUUUCGACGUGUUAGACACGCGGUGCAAGACUUUCAGUGGACAGUCGUCAAACUUUAUGAGCGGCAUCAAUGCGCCGACGAGCAUUUCAGCCAGCACAGAGCCCGGACGGCGACCAUUGGUGUAUUUGUCGCCGAACCGCCGAAGGGAAAGGGGUAGAUCCGAGUAGCUAGAGGCUGAGUCAGUAUCGGCAUGCGAUCUCCGUGAGUUGUCGGGGCUGUGCAGACCAGUACCCAGCCAGUCCUUGGCAUGGCCCGAUCUCCAGUGUCAUGCCGCGCACAAACCAAGCGAGAUCCACUCCAAAUUCGGCCGCCGGUUGCGCUAAGGUGAGGGCGUGAGGUUGGACAACUCGUGGUGUGGAGAAAAGGUGAACGAGCACGUGAUAGUGCUUGGCGGCUACACGACCAUGGCAGAGGCGACGGUUAGGGCCGAGAAGGGUGUGGGGCGGGGGUGCAUGGUCGGAGUAGAGGGGAGGGGGAAUAAAAAAACGGGUGUGUCACCGACGGGCAGGCCAGGGGAGGAAAAGGGCAUGUGUCGUGCUCGUCCGCGCGUGUUCGUUUGGCUGCAAACACGGUCCAAAAUUGGCCGGAAAAUGGUCAAAAGCGGACCGAAAACGAACAUUUAUCCAUUUUCUCCCGCUUAUUGGGUCGCGAUUGGUGUUCGUUUACCUCCAAACGGACGCAGGAGAACGAUUUCGGGUCGUGCUUUUGAGUUGGCCUGAGGGCGGCCUCACGGCCAGCCCCUUUGCGUGCGCGUGUGUGAGCAGCCCCCUCUCGAUGCGAGAAUAUCCUCUUUAGAGCAUCUACAUCCGGACCACUCAUACCCCCACAAACGCCCGGACAGGUCGUCCGGUCAGUGACCGGUCACAAAAAAGCGAUCCAACCUGACCUCUCAAAGCAACCUCAUAUGGGGUGGCCCGGUCACACUCGCGCAUGCCCACCUGACAAGCCCGUCCCACCGUCGACCCCACCACUGUCCCAAAAAAAAAACCACUUCGGGCGCCUCGCUCUGAACCCUAACUCACUCUCUUCCUUUGUCUUGUCCUCUCCCUCUCCUAGCCUAAUCCCAUAGAGUAGAAUGUCGAGUGCCGGCAGCCACUCCAGCGACUCCAAGGUCCACUUCGAUGAGCUGGCCCUCCGCAUCGCCUUAGAGCGGUCCAAAGUGGAGACGAGCGGCAGCUCCGGAUCUAGAGCUACCCCGUCGCUCCUGAGACAACGGAGCACAGAUAUCGAAGCUGGACCCUCCCGGCCCCCGCGCAGCUCCGGCUGGGCUGCACAGUCUGCACCGGCCCCACACCGUGUCCUUCCCCCGUCGGCUGCUGCUCCACGUGGGCAAUGUUGGGUCCUAGUACCCGCACAGCUAGCCAGUGCCCGCACGCGCACUCCAGAAUCGGAGGCUACGCCGCCUGUCGUGAGAGGGAGUAGGCACUAGGACGAGGGGAAGCGUGGUAGUUCGCUCGCCGCCACCACGAGAUGCUGACGGAGCCCAACGAGGAUGAACGCCUCAUUGCAUGGGUGUACCUCCAGUUCCUCACGAUGGCGGAGACGGGUGGUCGACGCCUCCGACGGAAGUAUGCGAAGGAGAAGGAGGUAGCGGAGGAGAAAGCCCGACUGGUAGCGAACGAGCAGGACAUGGCGGUCCGGCAGAUGAAGGGGCUCGUCGCCCUCUCCGAUGACGACUUCAACUACAGCGUCAACGGCAGCUCCUCCUUCGAGGACCAAGACCGUCCGCGAGCCUUGGACGGCUACGGCUGCGCGCCGAAGAUCCAAAGGGGAAAGGGUCCGGCGAGGAAGUGGUGAUCUGCCCCCUCCCCCCAACGUAUUGUUAAUAUAGUUUUUAGGUGAUGAUGAAGUAUGUCUUGUGAACUCGAUGAUCUUUUGGAUAAUGAUGAAUGUCCGUUUACCGUAAAUCUUGUGUUUGUUUGCUUUCGAUUUUAUUGUCCGAUGUUUAAUCACGUAGAUUAUUUUGACAUGCAUGUGUGGUAUGGAUAUAGGGCGUCGGAUAUGAAAUAUGUGGAUGUGGAGAGAGAAAUUUAACAUGUGACUGGACGCGUCCGCGGCUGUUUACGAGGCCGGAUUUGUAAAAUGCGACUGUAGAUGCUCUUAUAUAGGAGAAGAGCUAGGCCGGUGGGUGGCGCACCGGUAUGCCGAUUCCUGAGAGCUCCGCCAACUUCUUGUUCAGCUGAGCCGGUCACUAGCGAGACUGCCGGGUGAGUGAUUGUCCCAUUGAUUUGCUCCAACCGUGAAGCAUGAAUAUCCUUAUCUGAUCGAAAUAACCGUGUCGUAUACCAAUCCAGCUGCCUAAUGGGCCUAGGCAGGUAUGCACGUAUAGAACUCUCCCAGCGUGCUAGUCCUUUGCUUGGAUAAACAUGAAUGCUGACAAGUAUUGACCCGUCGGUUGCAUCAUCAAGCUAUUUUUUUUUUGACAGUAUCAUCAAGCUAUUUUAGCAAGGGCAGUACUACGCGUCGGAGCGCCGGCACGAGCGCUAGCGCCGGUCGCAGCGUGACCGUCAGAUCUGCAGGGGGACCGUUAGAUCUUUUCAUGCAACAUUUUUUCCUUCAUGCAACAAAUUUCAACACUAUGCAGCAUUUUUCGUCAACGGUUGCAACAAAAAAUAAAAUUUAUAGUAAAAAAAUAUCUACAUGAUCGUAGCAAAAAAACGAAGAAGAUGAUGCGUGGCAGCAAAAGUCAAACACCGGUUGUAGCAAAAAUUUACGUGAACAUGGCUGUAACUUUUUUAGUGAAUGGUUGCAGCAAAAAAUGAUACCGGUUGUAGCAAAAAUUAACACGGUUGUAGCAAAAGUCAAAACGCCGGUUGUAGCAAAAAUUCAACGAACUCGAGUUGCAACCAAACGUAUAUGCAACUUUUUUACUGGACAAAUGUAAUAAAUAGAAAAGCUUGUAGCAAAUAUGAACGUUGGUUGCAAUAAAUUUACACGAAUUUUUUUUUACAUGAAAAACGUUUGUAUUAAAAAAACACACGGUUGCAGCAAAUUUAACGAAGAAAUGUUGCAUGCACCUGUCAGCAAGGCGCGCGGCCCGCGCGCAACCGGCCGAACGAUUUGGCGGGCGCGUCGGGUGAAAGGCUAGCAAGCUUAUUGAAUGACUGAAUUUUUGUUUGAGACAACUGAUUAGUACCCUCGCGCGGUGCAUCCACCCAUCAGGGCAUUGGGCUGCAUCAUGUCAAUCCCACCUAAUUACGCGAAGGAAAUUAUCAUAAAUAUUUGGAAGAAAAAAAUUGAAUGCACGGCAUGUUCACUUUUGUACUCUUGAUUGUACACACAAGUGCUUCAUUUUACCAUUUAUACCUUUUUUCCGACAUAUGGGACAUGCAAAUAAGUGACAAAAUCUCGUCAAACAAUAUCUUGAACAGAGUAGGCGGGGUUGGACAGAUUGUGGACUUGAAAGGCACACUUACUACAUUUGAAGGACCAGGAUGUCGAUUUUCAUAGUUUAAGAAGCUACAUGACACCCUUGAAAUUGCUUAGGGACCUAUGAUGCAUUUCAAACCAAGAUUUUAUGUCGAUUUGAUGUGCCCCAGUCAAUCAGGGCAUUUAUAAGAAAAUAAGGGGGUCCGGUUAUGUCAACUUGUUUUGACCGCGCACUGAUCGGGUGGAUGUUUCAGAAGAUCACGGAGGAAAUAAAGGGUCCGCGUGUAGAUGCUCAAAUCUGUAAUCCAAAGGUAGAUAUCCUGCCGGUUUAGCUUUUGAGAAAGAUAAAAAGGAACUGAUGUAACUUUGUGUGCUUUGUUAAUAUUAAUACUAAAUAUUGUUCUUGGAACCUUUUUCUGAUCUUGGGAUGCAGUGUGCAGAAUACAAUCUUUUCCAUGCACUUGUCGAAAUAAAUUGCUGCCCUCGUCAUCUCAUAGUUUACUCUUCAUUAGUUUAUGGCAUACUUCAAAGUAAAGAAGGUGUUGAUGCAUGCAAUGAGUAGUGCUAAACAUAGCCAAUUAUUUUUUGCUUCCAUAAAAGUAUUCAUGUAAUGAAGCAUAUAGCACUUAAAGUGAGUGCAACUUCCAAACUGUAUGGCAAAUCUUUAGAAUGCUUGGACAUCCGAUACCCUAGAAACAUGAAAUGAAGCAUCAGAAGAAUUUGUAAGCGGCAGUCUCGACAUACGAGCUAGCUAGUCAUGCCGGAGUGGUGGUGGCCAACGGGUUCGAAGUGGCUAAGAGCAACUACAAUAGAGCUGAGUCAGGUGGCUAUAAGGCAUAGACUUAGUACAUUUUUGCUUAGUUGGAGGAAAGAGAAGAGGAGAGAGAAGGUAAGUAGACUCUUAGUUAAGAGCCAGAUCUAGCACGUACUUCUAGGCACUUUGUGAGAGUGAAAGCUGGGCCAUAUAAUAAAAUUAUAAUACAUUUUUCUAAUCAACUAUUAUUCAUGCUGGCUACAAGAUGUACUAUAAAUGACAUGACAAUGGUUUAUAACAGAAAGUGGCUAUACUAUUAACCAUGUUGUAUGGAGGAAGGAGCGGCGUUGGCUUGCGGAGUGGUAGCACAUGAUGGAGAUGUUCACAUGGAUGAUGGUGAUGAUCGUGAUGGGGACCGUGGAGAUGCAGAUCAGGAUGAAUGCUCAGAGAAGGGAAAGGAUGACAUGAAUCCUUCAUCAUCUACUGCUUCUGAUAAACAGGUUAAUGUCAGGGAUGCACCUACGACUACUCCCAUGAACACCCUCGGGUUCGGUUCGUUUGAGGUGAUACCUACGCUGACCCGUCUAUGGGGGGGCAUGAUGUGCAGGAGGGACCUGUACAACCGGUAGAUGUGCCGGUUUAUGUGAAUCAGCAUGGGGGUCAUGAGGACAGCCGGCUGGGAAUACAGGGCACACUGGUCGGCAGAGAGGACCUGGUAGAGCCGCUGGGCAGUAGCCAGGACCCAGCUCCUCAGAUAGACGGACAGGAGGUUCGCCAGUCGCAGGAGAGGCUUCGAUCUGACAGGGUGGAGGUUUCGAGCAUAGGGAAGGAGGCCCGUGGUAAUUUGGAGCCUGCUCAGGACGAGGUGAUCGCUUUUGGAGGGAUACCGGAUCCUUCGUACACUGAUCGACAUUUCACUCAUCGCAUCCAGAAGCAGCGAGACGCGGAUGACAUGAUGCUUGGGCGUGCUAUGAGGGCCGCAAAGCUUCGAGACGUCGAGGCAAAGACAGGUAUGUCGGUCUAUACUACUGCUUCUAUUCUUAAUUUCUCUGAUGUAGAGAUCAGUCAUAAUGCUAGCGACAUAGGUAUUUCUUUGGGUACCUCUGGCAAACAAGUAGCAAAACCAAUUAAUGAUAUUCUAGACAUAGAAGUAGACAGAGCCAUAGAGUUUAUUCAAAAAGUAGUUGCGGUUAAACCAAUGAAUGAAACAAACAUUAAUGAUUUAGGAGGCGCAGAAUUACAUAAUCUAUGUGAGAAUCUAUUGCACUUAGAGGGAGUUGAAGAAGAUGUAGAUGACAUAGGAUCAAAGGGGUAUAUGGCCCCUUUGGUUGACGGUUGUCAUCCACAUGUAAUUGCUGCACAUAGUAAAACAGAAAUAAUUCAGGAAAAACCAAAGAGACCUUGGAAAAGGAAGGUUUACCCUGAAUCAGCAGUUAGGAGAAGUGCAAGAGUGAAACAAAAGAAGAAAUUCCUUGAUGAAAUAUAAAAGGAAUGUUUUAGAAUAGCAGAGGUCUAGCAGACUUGGAUAAAAGAAGGUUCCUUAGAGAGGCAUCACUAGAUUAUAAGCUUGACUUUAUGACAUUACAAGAAACGGGCAGAGAUAAUUUCACACCGCAAUUCCUAAAUACUCUAUCAGGAGGGGUGGAUUUUGAUUGGCACUGCUUGCCACCAAGGGGUAGAUCGGGUGGGAUCCUACUUGGGGUUAAGUGUGAAACUUCAGAGGUGUAGAGUGUCGUCUAUGGCGAAUUUUCUGUCAAAUUUCGAGUGAGGUCGAAACUUGAUGGUUUUAGAUGUGCUCUAGUGGUCGUAUAUGGGGCCGCACAACCGGAGCUCAAAUAUGAUUUUCUCGCUGAUUUAGUAAGAAUUUGUGGAGACGAAACACUACCAAUUAUGGUGGGGGGAGAUUUUAAUAUCAAUAGAAGGGAAGAUGAAAAAAACAAUGAUAAUUUUGAUGCACGAUGGUCACUUAUGUUCAACAUGGUUAUUGAGAGUCUCGAUUUGAGGGAGAUUGACUUCACCGGGAGACAAUUCACAUGGGCUAACUCAUUACCGGUACCAACAUAUGAGAAGUUGGACCGAGUACUGACCGGUGUCGACUGGGAGCAGAAGUACCCGCUAGUUUCAGUACGUGCUUUACAAAGAUCAAUCUCAGACCACACGCCACUCAUAGUUGACUCAGGGGAUGCCAACUAUGCGGGAAAUAGAAAUACAUUCUCUUUUGAGCUGAGCUGGUUUGAAAGAGAAGGAUUCAUCGAUCUCAUAGCUAAUGAAUGCGCUAGGGAUUUGGGUGGAUCCACGAAUAUAGGAAGAUGGCAAAAGAAAAUCCGAAACUUGCGCCAGUUCUUGAGAGGAUGGGCAAAGAAUCAAAGUGGUAUAUAUAAAAAGGAAAAAAGAAAGAUUCAUUCGUCUGAUUAUGAAUUAGAUGUGAAAGUUGAGUCUGCUCAACUUAAUCUGACUGAAAGGAAGGAAAAGAUUGAUGCUGAGAAUAAUUUGAGGAAAUUAUUAAGAGAAGAGGAGAUGAAAUGGGCACUUAGAGCAAAGGUGUCCAAGGUAGUUUAUGGGGACGAUAACACAAAAUUCUUUCACAUGAUUGCAAAUGGCAAACAUCGAAAGAAAAAUAUAUUCCAACUUGAGCAAGACGAAGGAACAAUCAUAGGUCACGAGAACUAUAAGUUAUAUAUAUCUGAAUAUUACAAGAAAUUCUUUGGUGGACCUGAGGAGACUUGGGUCUCUUUGGAUGAAAGCACAACUCAUGAUAUACCUCAACUCAAUUCAGAUGAGAAUGAGGUGUUAUCGGCACCAUUCACCGAGCAGGAGGUGUACGAUUCAAUAUUUCAAAUGAAACAAGAUAAGGCCCCGAGGCCAGACGGGUUUCCGACGGAAUUUUAUAAAAAAAGAUGGCAUAUCAUUAAAAGAGAUUUAUUACCUAUGUUCCAAGAUUUAUUUAAUGGACAAUUACGGCUAUUCCAUCUUAACUUUGGAACAAUUACGUUGUUGCCCAAGAAGACGGAGGGUGUACGCAUUGAGCAGUUCAGACCGAUAUGUUUGCUCAAUAUCAACUUCAAUUUUUUUACAAAGAUUGGCACGAAUAGGUUAACGAAGAUAGCUCAUUCAGUAGUCCAACCGACACAGACGAUGUUUAUGCCUGGAAGACACAUCUUAGAGGGUGUUGUUGUCCUGCACGAAAUCCAUUCAAAGAAACCAGAUGGGGUUAUCUUUAAAGUGGAUUUCGAGAAAGCAUAUGAUAAAGUGAAAUGGCCAUUUCUUCAACAUGCCUUACAUAUGAAAGGAUUCAAUGAAAGAUGGAGAGAUCAGGUUGAUACUUUCAUUCAGAAAGGCGGUGUGGGGAUUAAAGUUAACAAUGACAUUGACCAUUUCUUUAAAACACACAAAGGGUUAAGACAAGGUGAUUCCAUGUCCCCAAUGUUGUUCAACAUUGUAGUAGACAUGUUGACAAUACUCAUUAAUCGGGCCAAAGAAAAGGGCCAAGUGGGAGGCCUUAUUCCGCAUCUGGUAGAUGGGGGUGUAUCUAUACUGCAAUAUGCAGAUGAUACGAUAAUUUUCAUGAAACACGAUAUGGUUAAAGCGAGGAAUAUGAAACUACUUUUAUGUUUAUUUGAACAGAUUUCGGGGCUGAAAAUUCAUUUGAACAAAAGCGAACUCUUCUGCUUUGGGAAGGCAAAAGAGGAGAAAAAUGCUUGCAGACACCUAUUCGGAUGUGAGAUGGCAUCACUACCGUUUAGUUAUCUGGGAAUUCCUAUUCAUCAUAGAAGACUGACGAAUAAGGAAUGGAAAUGUAUUGAAGAUAGGUUCGAGAAAAAACUAAGUUGAUUGAAGAGCAAGCUUAUGUCAUAUGGGGGGAGGCUAGUACUAAUAAACUCUGUAUUAACAAGCCUACCCAUGUUCCUAUUGUCUUUCUUUGAAAUACCAGUACGGGUACGAAAAAGAUUAGAUUUUUAUAGAUCUCGUUUCUUCUGGCAAAGUGAUGAGGCUAAGAAAAAAUACAUGUUGACACGUUGGGAUAUUAUAUGUAGACCAAAGGAUCAAGGGGGUUUGGGAAUAGAAAAUCUAGAAGUAAAGAACAAAUGCCUACUUAGCAAAUGGCUAUACAGGAUAUCCACAGAGACCGAGGAAAUGUGGAUUCAAAUAUUAAGGAAUAAGUACAUACAUUCCAAUACUUUAGCGCAGGUUACAUCUAGACCAAACGGCUCACCUUUCUGGAAAGGAUUGAUGAAGAUUAAGGUCACUUUCUUUCAGAAGGUCAAAUUUAUGGUUGGGGAUGGUACCUCAACAAGAUUUUGGAAAGAUACUUGGCUUGGGGACAUUCCUUUAGUAGUACAAUAUCCAAUGCUUUAUCAUAUUGCACAACGUAAACAUGACUAUGUGUCUACGGUACUACAAUCGGUACCUCUUAAUAUGCAAUUCAGGCGAGCUUUGUUGGGAGCACGCUGGAACGAAUGGUUACAUCUGGUAAGCAGACUGAUGCACAUACAGUUAUCUAACCAGACAUAUAGUGUUUGAUGGACUUUAGUUACGAAUGGUGAGUUCUCAAUAAAGUCCAUGUGCACGCAUCUCAUUAACACUGGACCACUGUCCAGAUCACUUCAUAUCUGGAAUAUCAAAGUGUCUCUCAGGAUUAAAAAAUUUAUGUGGUUCAUACACAAAGGGGUGGUAUUAUCCAAACAUAACUUAAUAAAAAGAAGAUGAGGAGGAAGACCUUAUUGUUGUUAUUGUGAUAACAAUGAAACAAUAAGACACUUAUUUCUAGAUUGCAAUCUUGCAAAACUACUAUGGUGCACUGUUCAUAUAGCCUUUAAUGUUUCUCCUCCCCUAUGCAUUAGUUCGUUAUUUACAACGUGGCUCAGUGGAGUGGACGUUAAAAUAUCGAAAAUUAUAAGAAUUGGAGUCUGUGCUUCACUUUGGGAAUAAUAUCAUCUUUAAUGGAAAGAAAUUCAACAACUUUUUGCAGAUUAUCUUCAGAGCGACGUCUUAGAUCUGUACGUGGUCGUUACUCAAUCAUGCGGACUCCAGGGAGCUUAUGGAUAUUGGGCGCAACCGAUGGAUGAUGGUCGCACGGCUAUCUUCAGUCGAUUUGGAUGACGUACUAAUAAUAGACUAGGUGUAUAGGCAUCGUAGUCUGCUUUUAGUGACGUCGGAUAUGGCAGUUUGUUUUUCAUUCUAUUUUUGUUUUUCAUUUUUGAGCUUCAAAGAUUUGUCAAGCUUAGACAUUGUUAUGAACCUUUUUUAAUAAGAUGGCUGCAUGCAUCGAUUGAUGCAGAGGCCAGGGGCUAAGUUCUUCCUUUUCAAAAAAAAAAAGAGAGAGCAGCAGUUGAAGGAAUCAAUAGCUCGGGUGAGGGACGCUGACGACUCUAGCAUGCGGACCAUCAAGUAUGGGGCUCGAGAUUGGAAUGGGAGCUCGUGUGCCGGUACAUGAGAGAGAGAGACAAGUUGAGCACGGAAAGGAGUUGCUUGGCUCCCGAUCGGAUUGUGUCAACUCAAACUUUGGCCAAGAAGAGUGCAUCUCCAACUUUAAAAGCUUGGACGAGCCUAGCCCUGCAGACCCACGAGCCAACUCACUUGGACUUGUUUCCAACUCAAGGAGCAGCAUGUAGCUAGAUAGUCAGCGUCGAGCUUUGUUUUUCCAGAGGAAAGACAAGAGGCGGUAGCUAAAAUUUUCCCAGUGCUCUUAAUACAAUUACCAUAUACCUCACAUGGGAAAUAGAUCUUGAAACCAGAGGCUAUGGGGAAGAACAAAAUAGGGAUAUUGAUUACACCAUGAUGACCAGGGUGCCAAUUGUUGAUUGCACUGCAUGAAAUGUUGUAUCUUGGAGGGAGGGUGUGUGUGUGUGGNNNNNNNNNNNNNNNNNNNNNNNNNNNNNNNNNNNNNNNNNNNNNNNNNNNNNNNNNNNNNNNNNNNNNNNNNNNNNNNNNNNNNNNNNNNNNNNNNNNNNNNNNNNNNNNNNNNNNNNNNNNNNNNNNNNNNNNNNNNNNNNNNNNNNNNNNNNNNNNNNNNNNNNNNNNNNNNNNNNNNNNNNNNNNNNNNNNNNNNNNNNNNNNNNNNNNNNAAGCAGGUUCGUUUAUAAGCUUUAGGAUGCCCACACAGACACACAAACACAAACAUGAUGCAACACAAUGUGAGGAUGCUUCAUUUGAAUUGUGUGACAAGCAAGGUAGGCCAUCCCAAAACUUAUACUCCUUCCGUCCCAUAAUGAAUGUGUCAACCAUAGUAUAACUUUAUAUUAAUGUUCGUACAAAGUUGAUACAUUUUUUUUUUUUGGACGGUAUUUUGAACUUUUUUAUUUUUUUAAUUUUAAUUUUUUCUAAAAUGUUGCAAAGUUGCGCCUUUCUCUUAAAAUAUAGAAUGAUUACAUACAUCCACUAUCGGCUGUAUCAUUAAACGUGAAAUAAAGUUUAUACAAAUUGAAGAAAAGAGUACAGUUGGAUGCACAGGACCAAAGCACACUUAUUGAGACUGCUAUCGAUUUAUUUUGAAGCCAUCAUUUCCCAUCAAUCCAGUCGAGAUCAGUGCUCGGAGCCUUUGACGAAAAAUGGUUUUCCUCGCUUUAUAUUACAAAGCAACCAGCCAUAACAUCUAACGAUAGGUGCUGGAACGAAAACAACUCAGUUACGCCAAAAAAUAUAUAUAAAAGGAACAAAUGCCGACACCGACGGAUCGACAAAAAAUGCAAAAGACUCGCGACUGUUGCGCCCAGCAAGUGUCUCCCACCAAGCUCCGGGUCUCCAAAGCGUCGGUAGCUAUCAGCACCUCCUAGAAGGGCUGCGACGAUGACGACAGUGUUGCCAAGGGUUUCCUCCGGUACGCGACGAGGCGCAAGGAAGGAUAGCCCCGAUGCCCUCCAGGAAGGUUCGGCGUCAUCAAAAGGCGUCACCGCGUCAGUGUCGGCCUUGGCCAACAUGGGUUUUCCCCGAUCCCAGCCUGCAUCUCGGACGCUCCGGAGCCUGCCACCAAACCGACCUUCACCCUGCACCAACACGGUCUUGAGGCCCCGCACUGUCUCACCACGAUACCGUAAGGAGAGACCUGCAUAGCGACGAAGAGCACCAUCCUCUUUCAAAGCUUCAUAAUAACCAUGUACCAAAAACGGCUGCAAAAGCUCAAGCACCAUCCUUGUUGGAUUUCACCCAACAUGGUCACAUGGAAAACCACAUGAACACACAUAUAUAUGACCGAAUACGUUAGGUGGAGUCAUAUGGUACAGUUCCAAGCAACCAAACAAUAAUGGUAAAGGUUGCACUUGCCCAUGAUUUUUGCACGAGAGUCCCAGUUUAAAACAAUUUGUCUACCAAAAGAAUUAAAGGAGGUGGUUUGUUUCUUCAUCGUGCAUUGUUAAUCAACUUUCUUUGGCUUAUAUGCUGUGUUUGUUUCAACUCUUUAGUCUGCUGCACAUGGCCAUUUAUAGUCACUUUGGUGCGUGAUGGUUAUGGCAUCCUAACUACCGACCUCUGUGGAAAAUGCGUGGAAACGAUUCUAUGCAAUUUUUGCCCUGUGGAGAGUUUGCCUACAUGCAAAUGGCGUCUCACUCGUGUUCUCGUACUCUGGAAAUUGAAUGUCCUUCGAAGGCCUCUAAGGCAGUUGCCCAAAACUGUUUUGAGGCACCUCCAGCUGUGGGAUGUUAGAGCUACAUCGCACAUAGAUUGUAACCCUCGUUCAUGUAAAACCCACUCCGUUCCACAGGAGCAGGCUGCUGCACAAGUUAAACCCACUCUCCCUAAGGGUCUAAUCUAUGUUUGAAUCAGAAGUACUCUAGCAAAACUCAAAAGUGAUACUCCCUCCAUUCCACAAAGUAGUGUGCCGGCGCUUUCCAAGAUCUAUGUUUGACCAUAUAUUUAAGCAACGAGACCGAUUGCAAUGAAAACAAAAAUUAUAUUACUGUACUGGCUUGUUUAUACUGCACUUUCGUGGUCUUGGCAUACGCACUUGUUAAAACGAAAUUGCUGCUCUAGUCAUCUCGUCCUUUACCCUUCAUUAUUUUUCUGCAUACUGUAGAGUCCCUGAGAUGUUGAUCAAACAAAUGGCUACUAGUAAUAAACAUACACCUUUCCUCUUUGCAUCUAUAAAAAAUUCAAUUGAUUAAGCAUAGACAAUUUAUGAUACGAUGAGUAAAUCUUCCAGACUGUCCUCCAAAACUAAAGAGUACUUAGGCAUAUGAUACAUACCAUGGACAUAAUCUGAAGCUGGGGGAAAUUUGUUCAAUUUGUGUCAAAUAUUAUUGUGCAAGAUAGGUUACAAUUAAACUUGGUUUUGAACCAUGUGUAGACAUCGUAGAAGGCGUGUCAUAUAUUAGAACAUCAGUAUCUCUAGGCCUCUUAUAUAAUAAGAGGGUAGACACAUGAUGUAAACUAUGCCAAUAUAAUAACACAUGCACGCAGAGGGAGCCAGCGGCGUGUGUCGGCGCCCGGGCGGCGGGGGUACGGUAUUAUAGCGGUGUCAUGGGAAGGAACGCCCGUAGUCAUGCCCGAGGAACGUAACCAUAUCAACGAAUUUCGUUAACAAAUCUCGGCGUCGUGCUCGCGUGAUUGUUUGGUGUUCGAUAGAUCGACUAUACGCCUCGGAUUUAAUCUAACAAAAUUAAUAAGCUCGAAAGUCCACAAAGGUACUAGUUAGGGAGUGGCAGCAGUCAGCGGAGAGGCAACUUUUGGUAAGGAGCAACUGAAUAGGGCCGGAGAGAACCACGGGGUGGAAUGAACAAAACUGACAUGAGACGCAUCGCAUGUGGGGGUCAAGAUCCUAAGGGCAUGUACAACAAUAUACAGUCAGCUGUCUGCAAGAUGCCACAUAGGAUUUUGAAUGAGGUGAAGAAGAGAGAUGACAAUCCCGCCUGUAAAAAUACAGUCUAUAGCCUGGUGAAAUCGGUCGCUACCGACAGCCUACCACAGUCGUACCUCGGGUAUGUGCAAUCCAUCCUUUUCCCCUCGCAUGAAUUCCGUGCCACAGUCCUCUGUCUUCAAUGGUCACGUGCAUGGACAAUUAUUUUUCAUCCAAUUUUAUAGACAACCAUCAAGACACCCUGUCGUAUAAGCUGUCCGUAAGGCUGUCUACAUAUGACUUGAGUGCUGUCGUAGACGGAUACCGUCUAGACUAAUGUACAUGCCCUAACAAGGGCAUGUACAUUAAUUUAGAUGCCUGCCGUCUGUAAAAGACCUCCACGUCAGCUAUAGACAGUAGUAGAAACAUCCUAUAUAAUAGCCUGUCUUUUUGCUAUCUGCAUGUAACACCCGAAAAUUAGGAACUGAAUAAAAAAAAUCCCACGUUCGCUAAUCCAUUCAGUUUGUGGGGCAUGAAUACAUCGGAAAACAACAAAACUAUAGACGCCUCAGCGUACAACGGGGAAAGACUGUCGGUAACUAUCGAUAUCUUUGGGACAUUGACCGUCUGUUGAAAUACAGACACCCUCUUUCUCUCUUCUUGUUCUCUUUCUUCCACGUAGUAAAAAAUCUCACGUGGCACACGUUAUAGACGGCUGACUAGAUAUUGUUGUACAUGCCCUGAGAGCUCGUAUGACGGUGCAAAACAGAGGAACGAGCCGCACACAAGAGGGUGCUGUUGUGCUCACAAUUCGUGUGGGCAGAACUCAAGCUUUGACUAAGCCGAGUCCAAGCCCAUUUUUGUGAGCUUUGAGGAGCCUGGACGAGCCAAGCCACGAGCCGGGUCGGCUAGACCUCUCCCCCCAGCAAGUGUUUAGCUUUCAUUUUUUACGAUUUAUACAACUGACACUAGCUGCAUUUUCCUCGAUCCCUCUCAAUCCGAUUUCAUUCACCUCUCAUGGGUAACAUAUGUUGAACCCAUAUGCCACAGAAUAAGAAUAAACGAGGAUCUAGAUCAAACCAUGCUGAUGCUGGGUCGGUGGCUAGGGUGCGAACGAUGAUGACAUGCAUUGCAAGAGAUGUUGUAUCUUGAGGAUUAUAUAGAGGGAGCUAGGCCUGUAAUUGUCAUCUGCUAGCAAACAAUUAUGUACCCUCCAGGCACAAACCUGAAUAUCCUGGCUUUUAGAGCCCUCAACCACCUUGAGUUAAUGAUACAAUUGGCUCGCUUCCAAGAAUUGGGAUGCCCUCGAACAAGAAAAGAAAACUCUAAUAUACAAUACACAGUGAGGAUAGUUCCUUCAUCUUUUCUUGGAUACAACACCUGCAGCUGACUACUAAUCAAGAGCCCGCUUCUUUUCUCUCACCUUUUCUUUCUUCCACCUAAUCAAUGAUAUACUAUUCUUAUCCUUAUAGCCCGCUUAUGUCACCUUAUUCUACUUGCUCUGACGAUGUCAGUCUUCGUCGCCCGAGAACCAGGGCGAUGAUCGGAAGCCCACGCGGAGUCGUCUCUCGAGACGAGGCCAUUACCGCGGGGGAGUAACGAUGAUGCCCCAUCCGCCCGCCUGCCUCGGCGCCUGGUGGGCUACAAAAACCCCCGCCGUUCUAUCUGUCGUCCCACACCCUCGUCCUGUCUCCCCGUCGCUCUCCCCCGUCCUCUCUCUCCGCGUCCUCUCUUUCCUCGUUGCCUCCAGCGAUGGUGUUCCGCACCGGCGAUAGCAGCCCCGACGACGGAGGCGAUGAUGGCCCUAGCCUCUCGCCGUUGAGCCUCGUCACAUAGUCGACGGAGGAUCUCAAUCGCUUUGUGCUGCCGAUGUAGCCAGGGUGUCGGCUAUCCAAGUCAUGGAACAUUGAGAAGGACGGCUUCGCAAUGCUCGGCCCCGGCGCCACGACGGAGGAGUGUCUAACUCGCCCCGGCGGCCGGUGCAACAUCGCUGGUCGUCACGAGUUUCGAGAUGACAAAUCUUACGCUGACGUCAUUGAACUAUGGCAGAGUGUGGUAGCGGCGUCGGCAACGUCUUCGCGUCACGGCGCGCGACACCCGCGUCGGACCCGUCUGCCCUGACGGCCCUCGUGCCGGAGGUUAUCCUCCUAGCGGAGCAACUCGUUCUCCAAGAGGACAGCGACCCCGACAAUCCUCCGGGGUUCCUCAUAGCUCUACGCACAUCGUAGGUAGCGGCAGCGACGGAGGUGGUGGUUGCGGCGGCGGCGACAACACCGGUGAAUGACGAUCACAAUGACGACAUUGACUCGGACGAGGUCUGGAGAAAGGACGAUGACAACGACGGAGCUGCAGGAGCUGGUGGUGCGGGGGAGAUCAUCGACCUCGCUGCCUCAGACGACAAAGUUUAGAUUAGGGUUCAUAUUUUUCUUGUUUUACUUAAUUUCGCUAUGUUUAAUUAAACUUUAUAAUAUUUUGCUAUGUUUAAUUAAAUUUUGCUACUUUUUUAUGAAGAAUAUUAUAUUAAAGUUUGAAUGUAAUAUGAAUGAAAUUUCACUAUAUUUAAUGAAAUUUUCGUUAUGUUUUUUGCCGACCAAACAUGUGCGAGAAAUUUAAAGUUGAUAACUUAUUUAAAUUUUUCUAAAGCGAUUAAAACAAAAUUCAAAGAAACAAUGAACGAAUGAAAAAAGUAAUACGGAAAGAAGAAAAAAAAAGGAUGGGCGGUCGUGCAGACAAGCGAAUGAAACGGAAAAUUUUGUUUUGCAUCACAGUAACCAUCUUGCGCUAUCCGAAAGGGAAACGUUUUUGACCUGUGCAUCGGUUGAACCAUACGGCCAGCCGCAUGCGACCGCGCGCGAUCCGUUGAUUUGGCAUGUAACUUUUUUUUUGUCUAAAUUUGUUGCAACAAACGUUUAUAUUUGCUACAAGCGUUUUUUAUUUGCUAUUUUUGUCCAGUAAAAAAGCUGCAUAUACGUUUGGUUGGAACUCCAGUUCGUCGGAUUUUUCGUUACAAUCGGUGUUUUUUAGUUUUGCUACAACCGUGUUAAUUUUUGCUACAACCAGCAUCAUUUUGUGCUGCAACCGUUCAGUAAAAGAGUUGCAUCCACGUUCACGUAGAUAUUUGCUACAACCGGCGUUUGACUUUUGCUACCACGCACCACCAACUUCUUUUUUUUGCUACGAUCACGUAGAUAUUUUUUUUUGCUAUAAUUUUUUUUGCAACCGUUGACGAAAAUUGUUCCAUCGCACCGAAAUUUGCUGCAUCGGAAAAAAAAUAUUGCAUGGAGAUCUAACGGUGCGGACGCGCGGGGAUUGAUAGAUCGUGCGGCCCGCGCGACUUUCGACCGGCACGCCGGCACAGAGCACUAGCCUAUCCGAAACCCUUCAGUUGUAAAUGAUGUUCCGGGUAUAAAUAAUGAAGUAUAUUCCCUCCGUUCGUCAAUAUAAAUAUUUUUGAAGGUUUUAGUAGAGGAUUACAUACAGAUGUACAUGAACAUAUUUUAAAUUAUAGAUUAUUCAUUUUGCUCUGUAUGUAAUCUCCUAAUAAAAACUUUAUAAAAACUUAUAUUUGGAAAUGAAGGGAGUACGAAUUUAUGCAUGCAGGUGGGCAUGUUCCUUCCACCACUCGAUGUAAAAGUUGAACGAAUUCGAUUACAUCCGGGCAGUUAUCUAGGGUUUCAUCAUCAAGAAAAUCAUAGAAAAUCCAUUGAUUGUCAGAAAAAAAAAACUUUGUGUGGAUCCUUUUCAUGAUGAUACAACGCUGUGGAAAAAUUUUGGGUCAAUUUACAGAUGUCAAAAAAUAACCUUCUUCCAGAAGGACCCUUCCGUGGCCUGAACGGGCUGCGGUGAAGACGAUAAAAUUUUGUUCAUCAUCCGAAUGACACCAAACAUUUAAAAAGGUGAGCAUGCCUAUGCUAGUCGUACAUGCAUGAUUUCAAUGAUUUCGGAUACAUGUAGGCAUGUUGCGACAUGCCCGACCAAUUUUCUAGGGUUUCAUCAUCGAAAAAAAUCAUUGAAUGACAGAAAGCAAUGAAACUAUAAGUGACUCCUUCUCAUGAUGAUACAAGCCUGUGGAAAGAGCUUGAUUCAAUUUGAAGGAUGUCAAAAAAUAUCGUUCUUCCAGACAGACCCUUUGGCCCCAAACGGGUCGAGAUCAUCUUCGGAACGACACCAAACUUUACAAGAGGCGGGCAUGCCUAUGCUAAUCUUACAUGCAUGGUUGCAAUGAUUGGUAGUAGGAGAAGUUAAGCAUAGUUUCAUGCAUCCUGAAGUCUAUGGAUGUGUAAGGAAACAUCAUCUUUGCACCCUCACGAUCAUUACAACAAGCUUUAGCCAGGAAUUCAGUGUUUAACUCUUUUUUGUUUUUUGAUUGAAGCAACAUCUUUUCCAAUACUUCGCAAUCCGAUUAACAUUCAGCUCACAAACGAAAAAAAAUCUCGCAUUCAUAUACCACGGGAUAAGAAGUGAAUGUAGAUCAUACUAUGGUGACAACAAUGUUUUUUUACAUGUAGUGGCCAUGGUGUUUGUUGUAUGCAUAGCAAAAAACGGAGAUAUAUAGAGUGCUAGGGAUGUAAAGGCCGUGUGUAGAUCUAGCUAUAAAUUUUGCAGCCCUUAGGGUACAUAGCUAAAUGUCCUGGCUUGUUGUGCACUCAACCACCCACAUCCAUGAGACAAUUGAUUCACUUACGAGCAAUGGGACGCCCUCACAAAAAGAGAAAGAAAACCCCGUGAGGCAAAAAAAAACUGAGGAUAGUUUCUUAGAACCACACGACAAGUGCUGUUAGCCAUCUCAAAACUGAUGUCAACAAUAGAUGACAGUUCCAUAGAGACCCACAACCCUUGGAGCUAAACAUGGAUAUAUCCCUCCUCUAGACAAAAACCACAUAUCUCUACAACACCCAUUUCAAUCUUCUUUAACUCCAUUGAUAUCAUCACGGUAGUAAACCAGUAAUAACUGAGUAACUGAAUUGAUGUGCAUUUUUAGAUAAGAAUAAAUAUAUAUAAUUUACUCUUGUUGAGAGAAAUAAAGCUAUUUUAGGAGGUAAUUAUAUGAAGUGCGACGUGGGUGUGACGACAAUAAGCCUGCUCCUUUGUGAUCAACCUAUCAAAUCGAUUGUGCAUCUUUUCUAUGCGUACCCCGGCCCUACUCAAUUGGAACAUGCUUUAAGAUCCGUGUGUGCACAUUACCUUAAGCUCCAUCAAGAUCAAUGCCUUCGGAUCCCUUGACGAUUGCUGGAGAAGUGUUGCUACUGGGAACCAGAAGAAUUCAACUCCUCCUGCCUAUAUUGAUUGCCGUAUUUGGAACCAAAGAAAUCAUCGUACUAUUUAGACUCCUUCGCCAACCUUGCCUUUGUCAUCGGUUAGAUUAAUUCUGAUCUCGCCAUGCUAGCUGCU
RNAcentral lists this long non-coding RNA (29478 nucleotides) under Hordeum vulgare. RNAcentral describes it as "long non-coding RNA (HVUL_LNC013753)". The record is from RNAcentral. Lineage: Eukaryota; Viridiplantae; Streptophyta; Magnoliopsida; Poales; Poaceae.